RNAcentral lists this ribosomal RNA (869 nucleotides) under Cycasicola leucaenae. RNAcentral's name for it is "partial large subunit ribosomal RNA". It matches the Rfam family "Eukaryotic large subunit ribosomal RNA", at positions 52 to 938 of the family's 3401-position model. Lineage: Eukaryota; Fungi; Ascomycota; Dothideomycetes; Pleosporales; Thyridariaceae. The record is from RNAcentral.
GACGGAAAAGAAACCAACAGGGAUUGCCUCAGUAACGGCGAGUGAAGCGGCAACAGCUCAAAUUUGAAAUCUGGCCCUUUCAGGGUCCGAGUUGUAAUUUGUAGAGGGUGCUUUGGCGUUGGUUGUGGUCUAAGUUCCUUGGAACAGGACGUCACAGAGGGUGAGAAUCCCGUACGUGGCCGCCAGCCUUCGCCGUGUAAAGCCCCUUCGACGAGUCGAGUUGUUUGGGAAUGCAGCUCUAAAUGGGAGAUAAAUUUCUUCUAAAGCUAAAUACUGGCCAGAGACCGAUAGCGCACAAGUAGAGUGAUCGAAAGAUGAAAAGCACUUUGGAAAGAGAGUCAAAAAGCACGUGAAAUUGUUGAAAGGGAAGCGCUUGCAGCCAGACGUGCCCGCAGUUGCUCACCCAGGCGUUUGCCUGGGGCACUCUUCUGCGGGCAGGCCAGCAUCAGUUCGGGCGGUUGGAUAAAGGUCACUUUCACGUAACUGGCCCUCGGGCUUGUCCUUAUAGAGGUGACGCAACACGGCCAGCCCGGACUGAGGACCGCGCAUCAGCUAGGAUGCUGGCGUAAUGGCUGUAAGCGGCCCGUCUUGAAACACGGACCAAGGAGUCUAACAUCUAUGCGAGUGUUUGGGUGUCAAGCCCGGGCGCGCAAUGAAAGUGAACGGAGGUGGGAACCCUUUGGGUGCACCAUCGACCGAUCCUGAAGUCUUCGGAUGGAUUUGAGUAAGAGCAUAGCUGUUGGGACCCGAAAGAUGGUGAACUAUACUUGGAUAGGGUGAAGCCAGGGGAAACCCUGGUGGAGGCUCGCAGCGGUUCUGACGUGCAAAUCGAUCGUCAAAUCUGGGUAUAGGGGCGAAAGACUAAUCGA